This 460-nucleotide ribosomal RNA is filed under the name uncultured bacterium. RNAcentral describes it as "partial 16S ribosomal RNA". It matches the Rfam family "Bacterial small subunit ribosomal RNA", at positions 338 to 795 of the family's 1533-position model. The record is from RNAcentral.
CCUACGGGUGGCAACAGUGAGGAAUCUUUGUCAAUGGGCGGGAGCCUGAACCUGCCAAGUCGCGUGAGGGAAUACGGUCCUAUGGAUUGUAAACCUCUUUAGUCUGGGAGCAAUGCCGGGCACGCGUGCCCGGAGGGAGAGUACCCGCAGACUAAGCAUCGGCUAACUCCGUGCCAGCAGCCGCGGUAGUACUGAGGAUGCGAGCGUUAUCCGGAUUUAUUGGGUUAAAGGGGUGCGUAGGCGGAUUUUUAAGUCAGCGGUAAAAUGUCCGGGCUCAACCCGGGCCGGCCGUUGAAACUGGGGAUCUUGAGUGGGCGAGAGGUAUGCGGAAUGCGUGGUGUAGCGGUGAAAUGCAUAGAUAUCACGCAGAACUCUGAUUGCGAAGGCAGCAUACCGGCGCCCGACUGACGCUGAGGCACGAAAGCGUGGGGAUCGAACAGGAUUAGAUACCCCUGUAGUC